Molecule: ribosomal RNA, 305 nt
Filed under: uncultured bacterium
Lineage: Bacteria
Description: bacterial SSU rRNA
Rfam family: Bacterial small subunit ribosomal RNA
Source: RNAcentral
CCUACGGGGGGCAGCAGUGGGGAAUAUUGGGCAAUGGGCGCAAGCCUGACCCAGCAACGCCGCGUGAAGGAAGAAGGCUUUCGGGUUGUAAACUUCUUUUCUAAGGGACGAAGCAAGUGACGGUACCUGAGGAAUAAGCCACGGCUAACUACGUGCCAGCAGCCGCGGUAAUACGUAGGUGGCAAGCGUUAUCCGGAUUUACUGGGUGUAAAGGGCGUGUAGGCGGGGACGCAAGUCAGAUGUGAAAACCAGGGGCUCAACCUGCGGCCUGCAUUUGAAACUGUGGUUCUUGAGAACUGGAGUGG